UACGUAGGGUGCAAGCGUUGUCCGGAAUUAUUGGGCGUAAAGAGCUCGUAGGCGGUCUGUCGCGUCUGCUGUGAAAACUCGGGGCUUAACCCCGGGCCUGCAGUGGGUACGGGCAGACUAGAGUGCGGUAGGGGGAGACUGGAAUUCCUGGUGUAGCGGUGAAAUGCGCAGAUAUCAGGAGGAACACCCGUAGCGAAGGCGGCACUCUGGGCCGAUUCUGACACUGAGGAGCGAAAGCGUGGGGAGCGAACAGG
RNAcentral lists this ribosomal RNA (254 nucleotides) under uncultured bacterium. RNAcentral's name for it is "partial 16S ribosomal RNA". It matches the Rfam family "Bacterial small subunit ribosomal RNA", at positions 524 to 776 of the family's 1533-position model. The record is from RNAcentral.